Molecule: ribosomal RNA, 3561 nt
Filed under: Triticum aestivum (bread wheat)
Lineage: Eukaryota; Viridiplantae; Streptophyta; Magnoliopsida; Poales; Poaceae
Description: partial small subunit ribosomal RNA
Source: RNAcentral
UACAAGACGGGUUCGUCUGCAGACGAGGUAGGGGUCUAGGGGCGAGCGGGGAUGACGUUGUGUGUCCGGCUAAGGCGCGGCGACCAAGAGGUGGAGGGGAGGGAGAGGAGUGAUGUCCUGCGGCGGCCCGCUUCGAGCCGAGCGCAGCCGCCGCGGCCCCAGUGAGAGGACGGAGCUCGUCGCAGCCGCCGCGCCCUACGUCGCCCGAGCCGGACACAGUGGCUGCGCUCACAGGGAGAGCUCGCCGCCGCCACCGCCUAAGUCGCCUGCGCCCGGCACCGCCGUCGCCGCCGCCACCUGCGUCGCCCGAGCCGGACGCAGCCGCCGCCGCCCAGGUAGAGGAAGGAGCUUAUCGUCGCCCGAGCGCGGGGUGCUAAAUAAGCUGAGGCCGCUAAACAGUUGAAGACGAAAUCGCCGCGGCGUUGCCUCGUGAGACAGCCCGGGGAACCGCCCUAGCCGCAGGCCUAGUAGAGCGCGGAGGCGUUCCCCCUACCCUGACGAGCCCGAGUAGACGUUCUCGGGGAGCGGCGGUACGGCGGACGACGGCGACUGUGGCAGUUGCCGUCGCCUGCUCGUCCUCUCUAGGACAGCUAGACUACCGUUUUCCCGCUCUAUUGGCCGAGGACAUACAAAACCUUCCAGAUGGAGCUCUAUUUAAACCUGUGGCCGUUCGAGGAGAGUCAUUUCGUUCAGCACCCUAAACCCCUAAACGUGCAAAACCAAAAGACCAAACAUGCAUAACAGAUUUCUGAACCUCAGUAAGCAACGUCCAAUGUGGUUCAGAGAGGAAACAAACUAAAACCAAGGUCGAAACUAGCCCUCGUGGUUGGCGCUCGACCCUCUUUCGGGUUCACUCAUCGUGAAGGUGUCGUCUAACCAAUGGUUAAAUUAACAAGACUAAAAAGAAGUACACUCCACUAAAGACCGAAAACAAAGAUGAUAGUGCGCGUAUAUUCUCUUGAGCUCCUUCUUCACUUCGAGGAGUAAAAGACACCACUUGUCUAUUUAAAGCUGAUGUAUAGUCUAAGAAAAAAAAUUUGAACAUCGUGCAUCAAUGAAUUAGGUAAAGACACCAAAGUCUUCUUCAUGGAACUCUGACAGGCACUCCUUCUGUGCGACUUAUAGAACGAACUAAAACAAGGGGCGGGUGACGUGCGGCGACAGCUCUUGUGGAGACGAUGGAGGAGGGUUAGAGGCGGUGUUCUAAGAGGCAGGUCUAGGACCCGCUCCUUAUUUUUUUAAUCAAGAACUUCGAAGAGGUAGUACGGCCUGCCUGUUGACAUAGGCCGUGGCAGCGGUAGCGAAUACCUCAAGGUGUGGUAACGGGUCAACAUGCUCUCGUACAAGUUAGAAGAGGUAAGUUCUGAUACGUUCACCACUUGAGACGGUUUGUUCUUCUAUACUCCUAUACCGUAUAUACGGGGUAUUCCAUCGAUAUACCAUUAAGUACAUAACAUCAAACCUAAUGCCAGUGUGAAACUUCCCAUUCAUCUACUACGAGUUACUGUAUUGGACGUGACUAGAAGUGUCAGUAUAGUAGACUAUCUUCAAAUAACUUAAAGUAAAUUUAAAACAACAUACAAUAGGUACUACAUUCACCUCUAUCCUUCAAUUUGUUUUAAUUUUUAACGUCGUGUUUCCCCUACAGGUGGUUACUAAACUGUACUAUUCUACAAUCACUUCGUACCGUUUGAUACUGUAAUCGUUUUGAAUAUAAAUGUAUAUAAGUAUAUAUACUUAAAACCUUUACACGUAACGUGCAUAUAGCAUGCAGAGAAGUGAUAAGUUUUAUGAACAUGGGUGAUACUAAGGUAAAAAAUAAUAAAUGGAACUUCCUCAUAAUAUAAUUACAAUAAACAACAGGUGGAACUAGGAAGUGACGAUAAAAAGGAUGAUUCGUUGAAACGUACCUCAAUUCUAGUAAAGCAUUCUAAGACUAUACAAAAAGUUUAAGCGAAGGAAAUACGUACUUGGAUAGUAGUUCUAAAUCUGGAGAAUAUACCACGUACAUACGACGACAUUCUUCUUUACAUUAUAACAGGAGUAGUUAAAGAAAGAAUCGUACGUGUUACACAAUGUUGUAGUUAAAGUAACCAAACCUCUUCCACUAUUUGUACGUUGGCAAGAAUGAACUACUAUACUUACGAAGUAACCUCGUUAUAACCGGAAACAAACGUGUAAUCACAAGGUAAUACAUCAUUUUCUACACCAGACCAUCGGAAAGAAGUAACAAUGUCAAUAACAGUUUACCACCUUAUAACCACGGACCAUCGAGACCAAGUACAUUCGUACUGCUUUGUAGCAUUUUAGUAUAAAGAACAACAUAGUACUCAGUAUACUCUUUCUUCCAAUCCGCUAAAUACAAAAAUCAAAAAGAUAACGAGCACACAAUUUCUAGAUCCGUAUGUAAAGUCUAUAUUUAAACCCGUAUUUAACAGUGUUUAUCUACCCACCGCACCCAGUUCCAAGUCUUUGGGUCCCGUAGUACAAAGAAAGCUCGGUAUACUCCUCUUGAUGUAGGUACCAUCACCGAUGUUAUAUUAGUCUCUCGGUACAUGUACAACUAACAAUACUUUAGUACCCUACUUUAGAACUAGAGGCCACAGGUCUUUAGAUAAAAGAGUCUCUUUUUUAGCUACGCUCAAAUAUAACGACUACAAAGCAGUGCGUGGAAUUAAAGAAGAAGCCUAAUACUUUAUAAAUCCAAUUGUUCUACGGUACAUUCAACCCAACUCUAGACGAUAUGUCACCGAAAGAAAACAAGUUUAUAAAGUAAAAAAAAGUAAAAGUACGACAGCUUCAUAAACAUGAACACUAAAGGACUUCAAAACACUUUAUAACUUCCUAUAGAACCUUGCUGUUUCAAGGGUCAGAAGUACGAUCCACUAUCCUGUGACCGACGACUUCAACGAGUAACGGAGCGUAUUUUCUUACCUUAGAGGAAUAAAAAACGAUACAAAACGUGUACAACUAAUACUACCGUAACAAAACUUGUAAGAUAGGGUACAACUAUUUUUCAUCUACGAAACCAUACGGGAGAAACAAGAUCGAACCAACCAACUGACCAACAACAAGAUCCACAACAACUCUACUGGAUUCGAUUGUUGUUAAACUCGAACGGAGGUACCACAAACUAAUAUAAAUCCACCUGUUUUAGGGGGCCACUAUUAGGGUUUUUCUUUUAAACCGUAACUGCGUCCCGCAUCUCGCAACCACUACGGACUUUUCUUUUAAACCGUACCGUGCCCUCCAUUCCGCAACCACUACGGGUUUUUGUUCUAAACCGCACUACGCCCUCCAUCUCGCAACGUACGCCGUCGUUUCUAUGUUGGUACAAUUUUUUAAGUUUGGUAGCUGCCCUUCAUCUCACAACACACGCCGUCCUUUCUAUGUUGGUACAAGUUUUUAAGUUUGGUAGCCCCAGUGUCAACGUUCUACCCCUAGCCUACCGUACCUGUGUAAAUCGAUCGUUUCCAACAAGCGGCUUUAAUCUCAAACCUAAUAAUAUAUUAAAGUAACAUCUGGUUAAUGACAAUUUAGUAUUGUACAAUAAUACUAUUU